CGUAGGGGGCAAGCGUUGUCCGGAAUUACUGGGCGUAAAGGGAGCGUAGGCGGUCUUUUAAGUUAGAUGUGAAAUACCCGGGCUUAACUUGGGAGGUGCAUCUAAAACUGGGGGACUUGAGUGUAGGAGAGGAAAGUGGAAUUCCUAGUGUAGCGGUGAAAUGCGUAGAUAUUAGGAGGAACACCAGUGGCGAAGGCGACUUUCUGGACUAUAACUGACGCUGAGGCUCGAAAGCGUGGGGAGCAAACAGGAUUAGAUACCCUGGUAGUCCACGCUGUAAACGAUGAAUACUAGGUGUAGGGGGUAUCGACUCCCCCUGUGCCGCAGCUAACGCAAUAAGUAUUCCGCCUGGGGAGUACGGCCGCAAGGUUG
Molecule: ribosomal RNA, 372 nt
Filed under: uncultured organism
Description: bacterial SSU rRNA
Rfam family: Bacterial small subunit ribosomal RNA
Source: RNAcentral